RNAcentral lists this ribosomal RNA (458 nucleotides) under uncultured bacterium. RNAcentral describes it as "bacterial SSU rRNA". It matches the Rfam family "Bacterial small subunit ribosomal RNA", at positions 338 to 793 of the family's 1533-position model. The record is from RNAcentral.
CCUACGGGAGGCAGCAGUGAGGAAUAUUGGUCAAUGGGCGCAAGCCUGAACCAGCCAUCCCGCGUGAAGGAAGAAGGCCCUAUGGGUUGUAAACUUCUUUUCCAGGGGGUGAAUAAUUCCGAUGUAUCGGGAGAUGACGGUACCCUGGGAAUAAGCAUCGGCUAACUCCGUGCCAGCAGCCGCGGUAAUACGGAGGAUGCGAGCGUUAUCCGGAUUUAUUGGGUUUAAAGGGUGCGUAGGCGGAACAAUAAGUCAGUGGUGAAAGACUGCAGCUUAACUGUAGACUUGCCGUUGAUACUGUUGAUCUUGAGUAUGGUCAAGGCAGGCGGAAUGUGUAAUGUAGCGGUGAAAUGCUUAGAUAUUACACAGAACACCGAUUGCGAAGGCAGCUUGCUGGGCCAUUACUGACGCUGAUGCACGAAAGCGUGGGGAUCGAACAGGAUUAGAUACCCUGGUAG